CAGCAGCCGCGGUAAUACGAAGGGUGCAAGCGUUAAUCGGAAUUACUGGGCGUAAAGCGUGCGUAGGCGGUGAGUUAAGUCUGCUGUGAAAUCCCCGGGCUCAACCUGGGAAUGGCAGUGGAUACUGGCUCGCUAGAGUGUGUCAGAGGAUGGUGGAAUUCCCGGUGUAGCGGUGAAAUGCGUAGAGAUCGGGAGGAACAUCAGUGGCGAAGGCGGCCAUCUGGGACAACACUGACGCUGAGGCACGAAAGCGUGGGGAGCAAACAGGAUUAGAUCCCGCGUAGUCCCUGUCUCUUAUACA
RNAcentral lists this ribosomal RNA (301 nucleotides) under uncultured bacterium. RNAcentral describes it as "partial 16S ribosomal RNA". It matches the Rfam family "Bacterial small subunit ribosomal RNA", at positions 509 to 808 of the family's 1533-position model. The record is from RNAcentral.